AGCUUUGCCCAGUGGCCGUCUUACAGCUAAUAAGGCUUAUCUGAGGCAAGAGAAAUGCUAAUUGAAAACUUUCCCCAAAGUGACUCCGUUGUGAUGUCUUGCAAUAUAGUUAGCAUGAGGAAUUUUUGUUAGUCACUACAGAGC
Small nuclear RNA from Sciurus carolinensis (gray squirrel), 144 nucleotides. RefSeq annotates it as U4 spliceosomal RNA. Lineage: Eukaryota; Metazoa; Chordata; Mammalia; Rodentia; Sciuridae. The transcript has a single exon. The record is from RefSeq and is a predicted model, not a curated record.